This 76-nucleotide transfer RNA is filed under the name Neptunomonas antarctica. It matches the Rfam family "tRNA". From Rfam's summary of the family: Transfer RNA (tRNA) molecules are approximately 80 nucleotides in length. Their secondary structure includes four short double-helical elements and three loops (D, anti-codon, and T loops). Lineage: Bacteria; Pseudomonadati; Pseudomonadota; Gammaproteobacteria; Oceanospirillales; Oceanospirillaceae. RNAcentral also lists the same sequence under 2 other names. The record is from RNAcentral.
GGGGCGUUAGCUCAGUUGGUAGAGCAGUUGGCUUUUAACCAAUUGGUCAUAGGUUCAAAUCCUAUACGCCCCACCA